GGGGAUUAGUGGCGAACGGGUGAGUAACACGUGGGCAAUCUGCCCUGCACUCUGGGACAAGCCCUGGAAACGGGGUCUAAUACCGGAUAUUGACCUUCACGGGCAUCUGUGAGGUUCGAAAGCUCCGGCGGUGCAGGAUGAGCCCGCGGCCUAUCAGCUUGUUGGUGAGGUAAUGGCUCACCAAGGCGACGACGGGUAGCCGGCCUGAGAGGGCGACCGGCCACACUGGGACUGAGACACGGCCCAGACUCCUACGGGAGGCAGCAGUGGGGAAUAUUGCACAAUGGGCGAAAGCCUGAUGCAGCGACGCCGCGUGAGGGAUGACGGCCUUCGGGUUGUAAACCUCUUUCAGCAGGGAAGAAGCGAAAGUGACGGUACCUGCAGAAGAAGCGCCGGCUAACUACGUGCCAGCAGCCGCGGUAAUACGUAGGGCGCAAGCGUUGUCCGGAAUUAUUGGGCGUAAAGAGCUCGUAGGCGGCUUGUCACGUCGGUUGUGAAAGCCCGGGGCUUAACCCCGGGUCUGCAGUCGAUACGGGCAGGCUAGAGUUCGGUAGGGGAGAUCGGAAUUCCUGGUGUAGCGGUGAAAUGCGCAGAUAUCAGGAGGAACACCGGUGGCGAAGGCGGAUCUCUGGGCCGAUACUGACGCUGAGGAGCGAAAGCGUGGGGAGCGA
RNAcentral lists this ribosomal RNA (671 nucleotides) under Streptomyces pactum. RNAcentral describes it as "bacterial SSU rRNA". It matches the Rfam family "Bacterial small subunit ribosomal RNA", at positions 87 to 771 of the family's 1533-position model. Lineage: Bacteria; Bacillati; Actinomycetota; Actinomycetes; Kitasatosporales; Streptomycetaceae. The record is from RNAcentral.